Molecule: ribosomal RNA, 2761 nt
Filed under: Escherichia coli
Lineage: Bacteria; Pseudomonadati; Pseudomonadota; Gammaproteobacteria; Enterobacterales; Enterobacteriaceae
Description: bacterial LSU rRNA
Rfam family: Bacterial large subunit ribosomal RNA
Source: RNAcentral
ACACUAUCAUUAACUGAAUCCAUAGGUUAAUGAGGCGAACCGGGGGAACUGAAACAUCUAAGUACCCCGAGGAAAAGAAAUCAACCGAGAUUCCCCCAGUAGCGGCGAGCGAACGGGGAGGAGCCCAGAGCCUGAAUCAGUGUGUGUGUUAGUGGAAGCGUCUGGAAAGGCGCGCGAUACAGGGUGACAGCCCCGUACACAAAAAUGCACAUGCUGUGAGCUCGAUGAGUAGGGCGGGACACGUGGUAUCCUGUCUGAAUAUGGGGGGACCAUCCUCCAAGGCUAAAUACUCCUGACUGACCGAUAGUGAACCAGUACCGUGAGGGAAAGGCGAAAAGAACCCCGGCGAGGGGAGUGAAAAAGAACCUGAAACCGUGUACGUACAAGCAGUGGGAGCCUCUUAAUGGGGUGACUGCGUACCUUUUGUAUAAUGGGUCAGCGACUUAUAUUCUGUAGCAAGGUUAACCGAAUAGGGGAGCCGAAGGGAAACCGAGUCUUAACUGGGCGUUAAGUUGCAGGGUAUAGACCCGAAACCCGGUGAUCUAGCCAUGGGCAGGUUGAAGGUUGGGUAACACUAACUGGAGGACCGAACCGACUAAUGUUGAAAAAUUAGCGGAUGACUUGUGGCUGGGGGUGAAAGGCCAAUCAAACCGGGAGAUAGCUGGUUCUCCCCGAAAGCUAUUUAGGUAGCGCCUCGUGAAUUCAUCUCCGGGGGUAGAGCACUGUUUCGGCAAGGGGGUCAUCCCGACUUACCAACCCGAUGCAAACUGCGAAUACCGGAGAAUGUUAUCACGGGAGACACACGGCGGGUGCUAACGUCCGUCGUGAAGAGGGAAACAACCCAGACCGCCAGCUAAGGUCCCAAAGUCAUGGUUAAGUGGGAAACGAUGUGGGAAGGCCCAGACAGCCAGGAUGUUGGCUUAGAAGCAGCCAUCAUUUAAAGAAAGCGUAAUAGCUCACUGGUCGAGUCGGCCUGCGCGGAAGAUGUAACGGGGCUAAACCAUGCACCGAAGCUGCGGCAGCGACACUAUGUGUUGUUGGGUAGGGGAGCGUUCUGUAAGCCUGUGAAGGUGGCCUGUGAGGGUUGCUGGAGGUAUCAGAAGUGCGAAUGCUGACAUAAGUAACGAUAAAGCGGGUGAAAAGCCCGCUCGCCGGAAGACCAAGGGUUCCUGUCCAACGUUAAUCGGGGCAGGGUGAGUCGACCCCUAAGGCGAGGCCGAAAGGCGUAGUCGAUGGGAAACAGGUUAAUAUUCCUGUACUUGGUGUUACUGCGAAGGGGGGACGGAGAAGGCUAUGUUGGCCGGGCGACGGUUGUCCCGGUUUAAGCGUGUAGGCUGGUUUUCCAGGCAAAUCCGGAAAACCAAGGCUGAGGCGUGAUGACGAGGCACUACGGUGCUGAAGUGACAAAUGCCCUGCUUCCAGGAAAAGCCUCUAAGCAUCAGGUAACAUCAAAUCGUACCCCAAACCGACACAGGUGGUCAGGUAGAGAAUACCAAGGCGCUUGAGAGAACUCGGGUGAAGGAACUAGGCAAAAUGGUGCCGUAACUUCGGGAGAAGGCACGCUGAUAUGUAGGUGAAGCGACUUGCUCGUGGAGCUGAAAUCAGUCGAAGAUACCAGCUGGCUGCAACUGUUUAUUAAAAACACAGCACUGUGCAAACACGAAAGUGGACGUAUACGGUGUGACGCCUGCCCGGUGCCGGAAGGUUAAUUGAUGGGGUUAGCGGUAACGCGAAGCUCUUGAUCGAAGCCCCGGUAAACGGCGGCCGUAACUAUAACGGUCCUAAGGUAGCGAAAUUCCUUGUCGGGUAAGUUCCGACCUGCACGAAUGGCGUAAUGAUGGCCAGGCUGUCUCCACCCGAGACUCAGUGAAAUUGAACUCGCUGUGAAGAUGCAGUGUACCCGCGGCAAGACGGAAAGACCCCGUGAACCUUUACUAUAGCUUGACACUGAACAUUGAGCCUUGAUGUGUAGGAUAGGUGGGAGGCUUUGAAGUGUGGACGCCAGUCUGCAUGGAGCCGACCUUGAAAUACCACCCUUUAAUGUUUGAUGUUCUAACGUUGGCCCCUAAUCGGGGUUGCGGACAGUGUCUGGUGGGUAGUUUGACUGGGGCGGUCUCCUCCUAAAGAGUAACGGAGGAGCACGAAGGUUGGCUAAUCCUGGUCGGACAUCAGGAGGUUAGUGCAAUGGCAUAAGCCAGCUUGACUGCGAGCGUGACGGCGCGAGCAGGUGCGAAAGCAGGUCAUAGUGAUCCGGUGGUUCUGAAUGGAAGGGCCAUCGCUCAACGGAUAAAAGGUACUCCGGGGAUAACAGGCUGAUACCGCCCAAGAGUUCAUAUCGACGGCGGUGUUUGGCACCUCGAUGUCGGCUCAUCACAUCCUGGGGCUGAAGUAGGUCCCAAGGGUAUGGCUGUUCGCCAUUUAAAGUGGUACGCGAGCUGGGUUUAGAACGUCGUGAGACAGUUCGGUCCCUAUCUGCCGUGGGCGCUGGAGAACUGAGGGGGGCUGCUCCUAGUACGAGAGGACCGGAGUGGACGCAUCACUGGUGUUCGGGUUGUCAUGCCAAUGGCACUGCCCGGUAGCUAAAUGCGGAAGAGAUAAGUGCUGAAAGCAUCUAAGCACGAAACUUGCCCCGAGAUGAGUUCUCCCUGAGACUUAGAGUCUCCUGAAGGAACGUUGAAGACGACGACGUUGAUAGGCCGGGUGUGUAAGCGCAGCGAUGCGUUGAGCUAACCGGUACUAAUGAACCGUGAGGCUUAACCUU